AGAAAUCGACACCUAUGAUAUGAAAGAGACGCAAUUUGGAUUUUAUUCAUCAAAUCAUAGCGCCAUGAUCAAAUUUUGAGAACAGUUGCAACGGGGGGGGGGGGGUGGAUAAUUCCCCGUAAAUGUGCUCACGCCUACGUUUUUUUUUUGGGGGGGGGAGGGGGUGGGGGAGGCCUUGCUAACAAAUAUUCGGCGCCUUUUCGGCUCACAUCAAGUGGCGUUUCAUACUGUUUUGGAUCAGCUGCUGUCAGAGUUCGGCACGUGGGUUCGCCGGUAGAAUCACUGAACUCAUUUCUACCGCGGGAUUCAACCAGCUCAUCGUAACAUCGCAGCUCAGGUUCCCGCAAAGUACCCGCGCGAGUGGAUACCAACGGCCGCUAUACUGUCUACUGAGUCAGCUCAGGCUAGAACGAGGAACGUGAAGAUUGGCGAGAGUCAUGUCUUCAUCAGCACCAACUACCCGGAUGAGACUCCGUAGAAAGUGUGAGGCAGGUUCAUCGGGCAUCCAAGAUCCUCCAGCAGAGACCAGUGGAUCUUCAGGAACUUCAUCCAGGAAUGAAUCCAAGAGAGCGCCGUCAAAAAGGGGGAAGCAGGCUGCAGUUGAAACCAAGACAACAAUGACAACAAGACGUCGGGGAAAGAAGGCGAUUGCAGAAGAUAUUGAUGCAGCAGAAGGCAAGAAUGAGGCCUCAUCGUCCAAAGCCAAAGGAGAGAAGAAAGGAAGGAAGAGGGGUGGGGCCAGGGUAGUGGAAGAUCUGCAGAAUGACAAGCCUGAUUUAAUGACAGAAGAGCCCAUGGAUACACGGAGCGAUCCAUCCAGUGAUGAGUUUCAGGCAAAUGCAGAACUGUUGCCACCAGAAGCUAAGAUGGAUUCGCAAGGGAAACGUCAAGGAAAAGGACAAGGUGGGAAGACAAGUGCAUCUGAGAGCAGCAUUUCCCAUCAAAAAGAUCCAAAGGAAAAGGUUUCAACUAGGGCAGGAAGGUCAAAAAUAGCACUAAAAGUUGCCAAAGUGGAUCCACAACCAUUCUUAGAGGAGAGGGAUACUGUUGAAAAUAAACUGCCAGUCAAACGACAGAGAAGAAUUAAAGCAACCGUGACAGAUGUUAAGGAGGAAAAGGAUCAGGAGUCGAAUGAUGCUGAAUCAAAAGUAGAAAUGACAGCCAAGAAUGGACAGCAAAAGAAAUCCACCAAGGGCAAGGGAAAGAAAGCUACAUCCAAGUCAAAAUCUGCAAGCUUAGAUGAUAAUGAUGUUAAAACUGAAUCCUUGGUUGAACACUCUAAGAUUGUGGCAGUUGCAGAUAAUGGUGUCCUCACUACUUAUGAGAAGUGUGUUGGAGCUCAUUGCAGUAUUGCAGGUGGUUUAUGGAAAGCAGUCAAUGAUGCUGUGACCAUCGGCGCAAAAUCCUUUGCCCUCUUCCUCCGCUCCCAACGUCAGUGGCAGGCCAAGCCCUUGGAGGAUGAUAAUGCUGCAAAGUUCCGGGAAGCUUGUACCAAACAUGGUUACCCUCCUCACCUGAUUCUACCCCAUGGAUCCUAUCUGUUGAACUGUGGCUCUCCAAAUCCUGCAACAUUGUCCAAGAGCAGAGACUCCUUGGUGGAUGAGUUGACUCGAUGUCAGAAGCUUGGGCUUACCCUCUACAACUUCCAUCCAGGAUCAACUUGUGGAGACAUCUCAAUUGAAGAAUGUCUAGAUAAGAUAGGUGAAAGCAUCAAUCUAGCCCUUGACAAGACAUCUGGAGUUACUGCAGUGAUAGAGAACAUGAGUCGUCAAGGUCAUACCAUCGGUGGUCAAUUUGAGGAGCUACGAGGAAUCAUUGAUCGGGUCAAAGAUAAAAGCAGGAUAGGAGUAUGUCUGGAUACGUGCCAUGCGUUUGCAGCAGGAUAUGAACUCUCGACAGAAUCUGGUUUUAAGAAAAUGAUGGCAGACUUUGAGAAGAUCAUUGGCUUCCAGUACCUGAAAGGUGUCCAUCUCAAUGAUUCUAAAGGAGAGGUAGGUUGUCAUCUAGAUCGUCAUGAGAACAUAGGCAAAGGAAACAUUGGGUUGGAGGGAUUCAAACGAGUAAUGAAUGAUCCACGUUUUAAUAACAUUCCUCUCAUCUUGGAAACACCCAUCGAAUACGGGUAUGCUGAAGAGAUCAAGACGUUGUAUUCACUCGUCGAUUAAAUGGAGCCCAAUCGUUGGCUGAAAAUUAUGGUAUGUUGUUUGUUAGAUUUCCAAAUACAUCCUCCUUGUGCUAAUGUUUCAUAAACUGCACAAUGCUCUCUAACCUGCAUUACAGCAUACUUUAUUUGAAGCAUGAAUUGAAUUAUUAGGGAGCUCUCAUAACCACUAGGAUGGGAGGUGGAUGGUCAUGUCGUACUGUAAAAUUAUCUCUCAUGGAGUUUUGGGAGGUUUGGUCUGCCAUUGUAUUCUAGAAUCAGAUUUUUCCACUGAAACAGUAGUAUUAUCACACCCUAAAAGGGGAUAUCCAACUUUUUAGCAGUUAUCUUUUAAUGAAAGCAGUAAAUGAGAGAAAUAUACAUAUAAAGAUUAGAAAAAUUCUACAAGGCAUAAAACAGUUAUGUAUUCAAUUUGCCGUGACAUUGUUCUACAUGAAUGUUUGGUACUAUAAUCCACUGUUCUUUUAGAGAAACUGAAACAUUUUACCUUUGUAUCAAACAAAUAUUCUUUAAGACACAAUCAUACUAUCUUCUUCAUUCAUCAUGAACCAUUUAUAAUUUACAAUGUAUGCAAUGUAUAGUAAAAGCAGCUUACAAAUUAUGUGUGUCACGGCACUGAAUAAGUGCAAAGAAACUCAACCGUUGUCUUGAUAAAUUUUCCUCAAACGUUCAUUGAUGUUUCUAUCAUUUUAGUGCUUGUAUCUGAACAACCUUUAUUUGUGUCAGAUUUUCCUUUUCAUCUUGAUGCCAAAGCAAAGUACCAUGCAAGUAUGUAUUUCGAGUGUCAGUUGCAAUUGUGGAAAAUUAUCUGUGGCGUGGGCGCUGUAACACAUUUGUACAAUUUGAUUGUAAAAAUCACAAUGUAGAAUCAGUUGUAAAAAGCAAUUGUAUGCUCGGUCAUUGAAAAUUUUUGUUAAAGGACCCCGAGCAUGUUUGACCUCAAGGUGUUUAAUUUGAGUAUAAUCUUCGUUGAGAAUGUAAUUCUUAGAACAAUGACAUAGAAAUCUAAUUUUCAAUAGCAAGUUUCGCAUAUUAUUGGUCGCCCAUUCAUGGUUGACCUAGAUAUUUGAGUAUAACAUUUAAUUUUACAAUAUGACAUAAUUAAUACUGAGCAAAGUGCUUUGUAGUUGGUGCGUAUGAUAUACCAAGCAUAUAUUUCACUACAAUUGUGCAAAAAGGAAAUCUCAAUUAGCAACAUAGGGUUGUGCAGUCAAUACAUGGGCAGCAAAGGUGCCCAAAGUAGGCUGAAGUGUCUCACCGAUUUCUUGGCAGUGAGUGUUUUGAAUUGGAGGCUAUCGGGCAUUGUUUCAGUAUCAAGUGUCCUUUUUUAAACAUGUUUUUUGUUGUUUUUGGCUUCUCACAUCUAAUUUCAGUUAUAAAAGGCAUAGCUUGUGUUUUGAUCCAGUGUAGCUAAGCCAUGAGAAGUGUUUAAUUUUUAGGCGCCGUUUUUCCAGCGGUGGCGUCGUCAAUAUCAAAUCUUCUACCGAAGGUUAAGUUUGUGAAAUGUCACUUUAACUUAGAAAGUAUAUGGAAUUAGUUCAUAAAACUUGGACAUAAGGGUACCGGUAAUCAAGUAUUACUGAACAUCCUGCCUGAAUUUCAGGUCACAUGACCAAGGUCAAAGGUCAUUUAGGGUCAAUGAACUUUGGCCAUGUUGGGGUAUUGUUGAUUUCCAUCAUAACUUUGAAAGUUUAUGGAUCUGGUUCAUGAAACUUGGACAAAAGAGUAAUCAAGUAUCAGUGAACAUCCUUUGAGAUUCAGGUCACAUGACCUAGGCCAAAGGUCAUUUAGGGUCAAUUAACUUAGAUUAUGUUGGGGAAAUCAAAACAAAAUCUUAACCAAGGUUAAGUUUUUUAAAUGUCAUAACUCUGAAAGUAUAUGGAUCUAGUUCAUGAAACUUGGACAUAAGAGUAAUUAAAGUAUCAGUGAACAACCUGCAUGAGUUUCAGGUCACAUGACCACUAAGGUCAAAUGAACUUUGGCCGUGUUGGGGGUAUUUGUUGAAUUGCGAUCAUAACUUUGAAAUUUUAUGGAUCUAGUUCAUGAAAUGUGGACAUAUGGGUAAUCAAGUAUCACUGAUUGUCUUGCACAAAUCUUUGGUCUCACGAUCAAGGUCAAAUGUCAUUUAGUGUCAUAAUAUGAAUGUUGUUUUUUUGUGAAUGAUUCUUUGAUAGUUGUUUUCAAAGUCAGCACUGCUGCUAUAUUGAAUCGUGUACAGGCUAGACUGCCGGAGGCGCUCCAAUUGUAUUACUUAAUUCAUGCCAAGGAAAGUGUUCAAACAAGCAUUGCAUGAUCAGGUUUAGAAUGCCAAUGUUUGUGUAAAGGUUACAUGCUUUCACUGCCAUAUCAAAAUGGCAUCGACUGAAUGAUAGAAGCAUUUACAAAAAAAAAAAAAUUUGUGAUAAAUAUGUUAUAUAUGUUUGAAAACCUAUUUUGAUGAUAGUUGAUAGUUUUGUGUUGAUGUUAUUUCAUGAAUAUAUAGACUUUCUCAAGCUUCUUGAUCAGUUACAAAGUGACUGGCUUGAGAAAGUCCUCAGGAGUGGACAAAAGCUUGCCCCAAAUAAUCAUUAAGGUUGGUUGAAGCUUAAAGAUUAUCAUCCCCAUUUGAUGAAAGUUUUCUGUAUUAGAGUUGUACUAUGUUGUGAAAGUAUGAUUUUGUUGGGUUAGUUUUUGUGUGCUUUCAGAUAAACUAUUGCCAUUUAUAGUGCCAAAGAAGAAAUAGAAAACAUAUCUGAUGUAUCAAGUGUAUUGAAUGUUUUUUGUUGUAAAUUUUAUAAAGGAGUACAAUAUGAUAUUCUUCUAUUAUGUAGGCAGGUUUUGUGAUUUAUUCAAGUUUUGGAAGCAUUUGUGAUGACUCAGUUGUGCACCAAUACACAGCGACGAUGAGUAUUUUCUAAAGCCUCUGUUCAUGUUUAGAAUCACACAAUAUUGCAGUUCUUUUACUUAAUAGCUGAAAGAAAAUUUGGGGCAAUUAAAGACCUUCAUUUCUAUGUCUAAACAAAUAUAUUGUAUCUACUUUUCAGAAAUACAGAGUUUCCUUACAGUCAAGUUUGUCACUUAUGGAACAUAGAUUAUACAAGUGUCUGUAGAUAUGACUACCCAACUCAAAUCCAUCAAACUCUUGAUUUUCACAAUUGAUUGUUGAUGUUUUUGUCAAUGCAAUGCAUCAUAAAAAAUAUUUUACAGUCAUUGCUAAACUUUGUGACUCAGGGCACAUCUUGAUGGAGUGUUAACUACCUUGACAACAGUGAAUAUUCUGCUUCCUGAUUGGCUUUUCAAAUUAAAGUUGACAUUCCAGCAAGAGUUGCUAUCAUAUCAUCUUUUUAUGAAAUGGGGCCCUGAUGACUACUUUGGUGACUUAUUGUGGUUUUUGAGCUGGGUGGUCAUUCUUAUGUAACUUUUCUAUUUUUCUAUUUUUUGUUAUUUUGACCAUUUUCUACUAUUAUCAAUUACGAAGCGAUGAUCACUUAAAUAAUGAAUCUAGUCAUCAUGUAUUAUAAUUCAAUAUAGAUGUAUUCAGAACAUUUAUUGUACAAUAAUAACAUUGAUAAUAAUUAUACCACAGAUUGUAUGACAAAAUACAAAUUUAUGUACAACUUUGAAAGAGCAAUUUGGGACGGACUCUGGAAUACAUUAACGCAAUUUUCAUCUUCACUCAUUUUAUCAUGUCAGAACCUAAACAUUCCCCAAGGUAUAAUACAUGUAAUGUCACUUUCCACCAGAUCUAUAACAGAGAUUUCUCCUCACCAACUUGUGUACCUUAUACAGUCAUAAAUAAAUAAGGUGCCUUAUAAACAUACAUGUUUCAAGCUGCUCUUUCAGAAUUAUCAGUAUUACCUGUACAGUUAUGUAUUUGUGUUUGAUACCAUUUUCAAAAUGGUAGUAACACGUUGUGUUCUUUUCCCCCAUGGUGUUGAAAGAUUAAAUGUUAUCCUUGUAUUUCUAUGAGAACUGCAUGUUUGUUAGACAGCUGAACAAGAAAAUCAAGAGUUCAAAUAAAGUUAUUAUUUUGUA
Lytechinus pictus (painted urchin) is the source of this 6175-nucleotide RNA transcript. It is a transcript of the gene named apurinic-apyrimidinic endonuclease-like, with no coding region annotated. The transcript is spliced from 9 exons. NCBI's taxonomy places the organism in Eukaryota, Metazoa, Echinodermata, Echinoidea, Temnopleuroida, Toxopneustidae. The record is from RefSeq and is a predicted model, not a curated record.